AUUUAUUGGGAGUAAACAAUAGUGAAGACGAUUUAGAACUUCUCAUAAAUAUCAAAUCAGUAUCGAAUUUCAAUAUAAAUGCGGUGAUGUUUGAUUAAAGUAAAGUUAUUCACUCUUUCUAUUUGGAAGAUUUUACUUCACGUGGUGAUGCUUUAUAUUGUUAAGAAAACAGACAUCUUUAAAUCUUCCGAUCAAUGUUAUUAUUGUCAAUACAGGCUGCUGCACUUUAACCCACUCCACAUUAAUCAAUGGAAGGUUCUAAAAGAAAAAGAAGAAAAAGAAAAGAACAUAACUAGUUUGUGGUGUGAGAUACUAACGUUAUUUACUGUUUUCAUAAUCAGGAUAUCUGUCUAAAAAAAAGCUUCUACAGAAAUCUAUAUCGAAUACAUAAAAGCUAUUUUUGAUACUUGGACUGUAUAGGAUCUAACAAUCCUCUACUUUGCCACAAAAUGGUCUGACCAAGAGUUCAAGUUAGGAAUAACUUUAGUGUGUAAUUUCUCAUCGAAUUACACACCUAUUUAAGUGUUACCUCAUACAAUCGUCUAGUUUUAUUGGAGCCUAAAAAGUGAAAGAUAUAGAAAGAUAAAAUUUUAUAUUCAUUUUAUGUAUCCGUUAGUCUGAUUGUCUAUUCUCAAAGUUUUCUGUAAAAACAAAUAAAAAAAAAUUUAAACUGCAAAAA
Long non-coding RNA from Centruroides sculpturatus (bark scorpion), 679 nucleotides. RefSeq lists it as uncharacterized. The record is from RefSeq and is a predicted model, not a curated record. The transcript has 3 exons. NCBI's taxonomy places the organism in Eukaryota, Metazoa, Arthropoda, Arachnida, Scorpiones, Buthidae.